Molecule: ribosomal RNA, 494 nt
Filed under: uncultured bacterium
Lineage: Bacteria
Description: partial 16S ribosomal RNA
Rfam family: Bacterial small subunit ribosomal RNA
Source: RNAcentral
GACGAACGCUGGCGGCGUGCUUAACACAUGCAAGUCGAACGGUGAAGCGCCUUCCUUUUUGGUGGGUGUGGAUGAGUGGCGAACGGGUGAGUAACACGUGAGUAACCUGCCCCCUUCUUCUGGAUAACCGCAUGAAAGUGUGGCUAAUACGGGAUAUUCUGGGUCUGUCGCAUGAUGGGUCUGGGAAAGAUAUUGUUUCGGUGGGGGAUGGGCUCGCGGCCUAUCAGCUUGUUGGUGGGGUGAUGGCCUACCAAGGCGGUGACGGGUAGCCGGCCUGAGAGGGUGGACGGUCACACUGGGACUGAGACACGGCGCAGACUCCGACGGGAGGCAGCAGUGGGGAAUAUUGCACAAUGGGCGCAAGCCUGAUGCAGCGACGCCGCGUGAGGGAUGGAGGCCUGCGGGUUGUGAACCUCUUUCGCCAGUGAAGCAGGCCUGCCUCGUUUGUGGGUGGGUUGACGGUAGCUGGAUAAGAAGCGCCGGCUAACUACGUG